UUAUCUCAACCAGAGCUUCUAAGUGGGGUAAGUUUAACUGCUUCUUUCCAAGUCAAUAGCCAGAGGAUCCUCCUGACCUUUUACCAUUAUCAUCUCCCCUCUUGACCCCUUUUCUCUCAUCAGUGGUAUUCUAGGGGGUGCAUUUUACGACCUCUUCAGAAGGAAUCAAAGGAAAAUAAAACACACACUACAAUCUCCAAAGGGCAAAGGGUUUUUUUGAUCCUUCCCUUUCCCACCCCCUUACACACACCCUAAGCACCACUUGGAGCAUGGUGUUCUGAACACCAUGCUUUUCCCCAGGCACUUCAUGGGAACAACCCCGAGGAGCAGCUUAGCAUGGGGUGGGUGAGAAUUUUCUUCCAUAGGGAUGUGCCCGGAUCGCCCUCUUGGGAGCUCAGGGGAGGCAAGCGUUUCCAGUUGGAGGAGGGAAGACGGAAGUCAAGUGUCUCCUCCCCAUCCCAGGUAUGUGGGGCCCCAGAACCUGCUACUCACAUCUGCCUCGUUCCAGAGCCCUGGGAUGCAGAAGGACUCCAGCAGGUCACUGCCACACAGCAGCAAGAUCCGCAGCUCUGAGGAGGGAGCAAAGUUGGCAGAGGGAGUAAGAGAAGGCCUGGGAGUACUCCGCUUCGCCUUCCUCCUUCAUGAACCCAGACAUCCCGCACUCUGGCCCUGGGGGCUGCACAGCCCAGGGCUCCCAGCAGCCCGGCGCCAAGGUAUAGCAGUGCAGGAACCUCCCUCCUGCUGGGGCUCAUUUAC
Molecule: long non-coding RNA, 756 nt
Filed under: Marmota monax (woodchuck)
Lineage: Eukaryota; Metazoa; Chordata; Mammalia; Rodentia; Sciuridae
Source: RNAcentral